RNAcentral lists this ribosomal RNA (492 nucleotides) under uncultured bacterium. Its description in RNAcentral is "partial 16S ribosomal RNA". It matches the Rfam family "Bacterial small subunit ribosomal RNA", at positions 29 to 507 of the family's 1533-position model. The record is from RNAcentral.
AGUGAACGCUGGCGGUAGGCCUAACACAUGCAAGUCGAACGGCAGCACAGUAAGAGCUUGCUCUUACGGGUGGCGAGUGGCGGACGGGUGAGGAAUACAUCGGAAUCUACUUUUUCGUGGGGGAUAACGUAGGGAAACUUACGCUAAUACCGCAUACGACCUACGUGUGAAAGCAGGGGAUCUUCGGACCUUGCGCGAAUGAAUGAGCCGAUGUCGGAUUUGCUGGUUGGCGGGGUAAAGGCCCACCAAGGCGACGAUCCGUAUCUGGUCUGAGAGGAUGAUCAGCUAGAAUGGAACUCAGACACGGUCCAGCCGCCUACGGGUGGUAUGAGAGGGGAAGUUUGGACAAGGGACGAAAGUCUGAACCAGUGAUACCGGGUCGUUCAAGAAUGGCUGCGGGUUGUAAAGCUCUUUUGUUGGGUAAGAAAAGCAGCAGGUUAAUACACCGCUGGUGUGACAGUACCCAAAGAAUAAGCAACGGCUGACUGCGUG